GACGAACGCUGGCGGCGUGCCUAACACAUGCAAGUCUGACGGGAAAGUCUCCUUCGGGAGACCGGUACAGUGGCGGACGGGUGAGUAACGCGUGGGAAUCUACCCGGUAGUGGGGAAUAACCCCCCGAAAGGGGAGCUAAUACCGCAUAAGCCCCAAGGGGUAAAGAUGGCCUCUUUCUAAUGCUAUCGCUUCCGGAUGAGCCCGCGUCCUAUUAGCUAGUUGGUGAGGUAAUGGCUUACCAAGGCUACGAUGGGUAGCCGGUCUGAGAGGAUGAACGGCCACACUGGGACUGAGACACGGCCCAGACUCCUACGGGAGGCAGCAGUGGGGAAUUUUGCGCAAUGGGGGAAACCCUGACGCAGCAACGCCGCGUGGAUGACGAAGGCCUUCGGGUCGUAAAGUCCUGUUCUGGGGAAAGAAUAAGUAAAGGGCCAAUACCCCUUUACCCUGACGGUACCCCAGCAGAAAGCUCCGGCCAAUUAUGUG
This 487-nucleotide ribosomal RNA is filed under the name uncultured bacterium. Its description in RNAcentral is "bacterial SSU rRNA". It matches the Rfam family "Bacterial small subunit ribosomal RNA", at positions 28 to 507 of the family's 1533-position model. The record is from RNAcentral.